AGUGAACGCUGGCGGUAGGCCUAACACAUGCAAGUCGAACGGCAGCACAGUAAGAGCUUGCUCUUACGGGUGGCGAGUGGCGGACGGGUGAGGAAUACAUCGGAAUCUACUUUUUCGUGGGGGAUAACGUAGGGAAACUUACGCUAAUACCGCAUACGACCUACGGGUGAAAGCAGGGGAUCUUCGGACCUUGCGCGAUUGAAUGAGCCGAUGUCGGAUUAGCUAGUUGGCGGGGUAAAGGCCCACCAAGGCGACGAUCCGUAGCUGGUCUGAGAGGAUGAUCAGCGACACUGGAACUGAGACACGGUCCAGACUACUAAGGGAGGUAGCAGUGGGGAAUAUUGGACAAUGGGCGCAAGCCUGAUCCAGCCAUACCGCGUGGGUGAAGAAGGCCUUCGGGUUGUGAAGCCCUUUUGUUGGGAAAGAAAAGCAGCAGGUUGAUACCCCGCUGUUCUGACGGUACCCAAAGAAUAAGCACCGGCUAACUUCGUG
This 492-nucleotide ribosomal RNA is filed under the name uncultured bacterium. RNAcentral describes it as "partial 16S ribosomal RNA". It matches the Rfam family "Bacterial small subunit ribosomal RNA", at positions 29 to 507 of the family's 1533-position model. The record is from RNAcentral.